UACGUAGGCAGCAAGCGUUGUUCGGAAUUACUGGGCGUAAAGAGUGUGUAGGUGGUGUCGUAAGUUUGGUGUGAAAUCUCCCGGCUUAACUGGGAGGGUGCGCCGAAGACUGCGAUGCUGGAGUAUGGGAGAGGAAAGCGGAAUUCCUGGUGUAGCGGUGAAAUGCGUAGAUAUCGGGAGGAACACCAGUGGCGAAGGCGACUUCCUGGCCUGUUCUUGACGCUGAGGCGCGAAAGCUAGGGUAGCAAACGGG
Molecule: ribosomal RNA, 253 nt
Filed under: uncultured bacterium
Lineage: Bacteria
Description: partial 16S ribosomal RNA
Rfam family: Bacterial small subunit ribosomal RNA
Source: RNAcentral